CUAACAAGGAUUCCCCUAUUAACGGCGAGUGAAGCGGGAAUAGCUCAAAUUUGAAAUCUCCGACGCUUGCGUCGGCGAAUUGUAGUUGCGAGAAGCACUUUCUCGGCGGAUCGGGCGCGCCUAAGUUGCUUGGAACAGUACGUCGCAGAGGGUGACAACCCCGUCUGUGGCGCGGCCGGCCGCUCACGAUGUGCUUUCGAAGAGUCGGGUUGUUUGGGAAUGCAGCCCAAAACGGGUGGUAAACUCCAUCUAAAGCUAAAUAUUGACGUGAGACCGAUAGCGAACAAGUACCGUGAGGGAAAGAUGAAAAGAACUUUGAAAAGAGAGUUAAAAAGUACGUGAAACCGUUGAAAGGGAAACGAAUGGACUCAGCAAUGCGCCGUUUGAGAUUCAGCCGAUCGGCGAGAUCGGCUCGGGGUUUGCGGAUCCGAAUGGACCGCGGUCUCGGGCUCGUUCUUGCCGGCCGUCGCACUUCUCUUGGGCGCACGUCAACGUCGGUUGGGUCUGGGUCUGAAAGGUUCCGGGAAGGUGAGUGCGUCAGCCCGGUUCUCUCGCGACUCGGACCCGACCGAGGCGGUUGCAGCGCAUGCCUCUUUUGGCUAGGGUCCCGUCUGUCCGGCCGGUCGUCGACCGCGGUGGACUGCUUGCAGUGCUCCGCGACUGCUGCCGGUCGUUGGGAUGGUGAUCUCGUACCAUGCGCUUGAGACGUUGGCGGUCAUAUGGGUCC
Molecule: ribosomal RNA, 727 nt
Filed under: Cyathotrochus pileus
Lineage: Eukaryota; Metazoa; Cnidaria; Anthozoa; Scleractinia; Turbinoliidae
Description: eukaryotic LSU rRNA
Rfam family: Eukaryotic large subunit ribosomal RNA
Source: RNAcentral